Molecule: long non-coding RNA, 2299 nt
Organism: Saccostrea cuccullata (small rock oyster)
Lineage: Eukaryota; Metazoa; Mollusca; Bivalvia; Ostreida; Ostreidae
Exons: 2
Source: RefSeq, a predicted model, not a curated record
UUUCCCGCGUUUCGUAGAAUAGCGGGAAAACAUUGUAUGAUAGGAACGUAUUUUAUUGGAAAUGCCUGUUUAUGGUAGGCGUGGCCAAAGGAAGGCCAAUGAGAAGGUGGUAUUUCGUGAAGUGUUGGAUCAUUCUAAUCCAGUGCUCCGCAGAACACACACGUGUUUUUGUUGAGUUUUCGGGAGCAGGAACGAGCAAGCAGAACCGAUGUCAAAAGAAAAACAGGGUCCUGUAACGAUUGUUACUUUCCAUGUCAUCGGGCUUUACACUGUACAAAUAAAGAAACAGUUUCUAAGAUAAGUAUAAGUGUUCUAAGAAUAUUAAUGAUAAGGAAACGAAAUACCAAGAUAGUUUUAUUAAAGGUUUAUUUUAAGAAACUAUACUAUAAAUGAAAAUGUUAAAGUUCAUUCUAUCGAUUAUUAAGGUGAGAGUUUUGGGGUAGAUAAUUAUAUAUUUUACUGAGCUAUUUGUAACAAGUGACUUAAAAAAAAAAAAUCUUUUAAGUGUUUCUCAAGACCUGUAUUGUAUUACUUAACAAAAAGCAGAUAAGUAUGGCUUUUGGCAAUAUUAACAUCGUUUACAAAGAAAUGCAAAAAGUUAUAAAUUCUACUUUGUAUCCAUUCAUUAUAUUCAAAUGAAAGUACAAUAAACAACCACACCAUUACGACAUAGCAACGAAAUGUAGCGGUUUUAUUGUACAAUGUACAUAUAACACGCAAAAUAUGAAAAAACAAUUUUUAUUUACAUGUUAAAUGUUGGAUUGAGUAAUAAAAGAUAAGAUUUAAACUUUUAUCGUACACGGCGUGUCGUCCUGGAUCGGCAUUUAGAUCACCGUUCGCCUCAAGACAUUAUGUAGCCUUGCUGGUGAAACCGGUUUUAGAGAAACACGUGGUAUUCACCGGGUGUUCAAGUGAAAACCUUGAAAUUCUGAAAAAAGUAAUUCAAAGUUAUUUACACCAAGUGGGGAUUGAUUUCUAUCUAAUUCGUGCCUCAAACGAAAUAAAUAUAUAAAAAGGUUGAGUAGCUGAGGUCAAGGAUAUACCUCAUGUUGCAGUUAAAUAUGCAUUCAAUAUAGGACAAGUAAAGUGUUUAUUCAGCUACCAUCUUAGUCCGUAGUCAGUGGGAAUACGAUGGUGUAUUAAAAUAUUUUUGUGUUCAAUGUUUUACCAUUUGGUAUUCCAUUUGCUGCACUCUUAUUAAAAAGUUUUAAAAAAAAAAAAGUUAAAUAUUGGACAGGACAAGGAAUUACCCUGUAUUUCUUAGGCAGAUGUAAGUAUCUGUAAGUUUUAUUAAAACUUUUUGGGACAUUGUGUAGUAUUCACAAUUCAUUUAGCGGCCUUAACAACCAUAGUUUGGUAAUUUUCGAGUGGAAUAAUGAAACAAUAGUACAUGUAUAUAACUUCCCAGAGAACAGAAAAAUUGUUACGACAUAUCAGUAUAAUUUAAGUCAAAGUUAGUUGUUUUCAAAGUAUGAUAAUAUAUCAAUUACUUAUAACAACUUGUAUGAGAGAGCAAAUCAUUUCAUAACUCGGAAGCCGCUAUAGGAAAUGUGGCUGGAUUUUAUACAACGAUACAUUGGAAAUCUUUUAUCAGAUUCAUUAUCUGAAGAAGAGUUUUCGAAACAAAGGUCUUUAAAAAAGUUAUCUUACAUUUGUGAUAAUCAGUGGAAAUUGUUCAUGUAGACGGCUAGAAGAUCCAUAAUUAUAUAUGUAUAUGUGUAUAUAUAUAACAUUUAUAUCCAUGUACGUUAUUUUGGUAAUUCUACUAAUAUUAAAAAAAAAUGUUAAAGGAGAAGUCUAUAUCAAAGUUUUCUUUGGAUUUGUGUCUCAUCCUUUGGAAUCUGUCAAUUAUAAAUAUGCUUAAUUCAAAAGGUCUAGAGAAGAAAUCUUAUUUGAAUAUUUAAAGUGAUGCGUCUGAUUCAUGUUAUUGGUGCUCUAAUAGAAAGAUUCAAUGAUUAAAAAACGUUUUAAAAAUACGUGGACAAGUCAGGAAUCUUGUCAAAACGUUUAAUACUUAGACAAGUUAGGAAUCUUGUCAGAAACGUUCAAUACGGGGACAUGUCGGGAAUCUUGUCAGAAACGUUCAAUACGUGGACAAGUCAGGAAUCUUGUCAGAGUUCUAUGUGGAGAGAACCGGAAUCUAAAAAUAGAUAAAUGAAUAUUAUAGGGAAAAGCAUUUGGGAUAUAUAGACAAGAUGUGUGUAGAAUUAUAGAGGUGGGCAGUAGAAAGCCAUAAUAUUAAUAAAAUAUUGCAAAACGGAUACGUGGUAAUUGUGAAAAAAAAAAAUAAUAAUAAUAA